RNAcentral lists this ribosomal RNA (220 nucleotides) under uncultured bacterium. Its description in RNAcentral is "partial 16S ribosomal RNA". It matches the Rfam family "Bacterial small subunit ribosomal RNA", at positions 111 to 334 of the family's 1533-position model. The record is from RNAcentral.
UAAUGUAUGGGGAUCUGCCCGAUAGAGGGGGAUAACUACUGGAAACGGUGGCUAAUACCGCAUAAUGUCCACGGACCAAAGCAGGGGCUCUUCGGACCUUGCACUAUCGGAUGAACCCAUAUGGGAUUAGCUAGUAGGUGGGGUAAAGGCUCACCUAGGCGACGAUCUCUAGCUGGUCUGAGAGGAUGAUCAGCCACACUGGGACUGAGACACGGCCCAG